Molecule: ribosomal RNA, 497 nt
Filed under: uncultured bacterium
Lineage: Bacteria
Description: partial 16S ribosomal RNA
Rfam family: Bacterial small subunit ribosomal RNA
Source: RNAcentral
GAUGAACGCUGGCGGCGUGCCUAAUACAUGCAAGUCGAGCGAACAGACGAGGAGCUUGCUCCUCUGACGUUAGCGGCGGACGGGUGAGUAACACGUGGAUAACCUACCUAUAAUACUGGGAUAACUUCGGGAAACCGGAGCUAAUACCGUAUAAUAUAUUGUACCGCAUGGUUCAAUAGUUAAAGACGGUUUUGCUGUCACUUAUAGAUGGAUCCGCGCCGCAUUAGCUAGUUGGUAAGGUAACGGCUUACCAAGGCAACGAUGCGUAGCCGACCUGAGAGGGUGAUCGGCCACACGGGAACUGAGACACGGUCCAUACUCCUACGGGAGGCAGCAGUAGGGAAUCUACCGCAAUGCGCGAAAGCUUGACGGAGCAACGCAGCGUGAGCGCUGAACGUACUCGGAUCGUAAAACUCUGUUAUUAGGGAAGAACAUAUGUGUACAUAACUAUGCACGUCUUGACGGUACCUAACCAGAAAGCCACGGCUAACUACGUG